RNAcentral lists this ribosomal RNA (253 nucleotides) under uncultured bacterium. RNAcentral's name for it is "partial 16S ribosomal RNA". It matches the Rfam family "Bacterial small subunit ribosomal RNA", at positions 524 to 776 of the family's 1533-position model. The record is from RNAcentral.
UACGAAGGGGGCUAGCGUUGCUCGGAAUCACUGGGCCUAAAGGGUGCGUAGGCGGGUCUUUAAGUCAUGGGUGAAAUCCUGGAGCUCAACUCCAGAACUGCCUUUGAUACUGAAGAUCUUGAGUUCGGGAGAGGUGAGUGGAACUGCGAGUGUAGAGGUGAAAUUCGUAGAUAUUCGCAAGAACACCAGUGGCGAAGGCGGCUCACUGGCCCGAUACUGACGCUGAGGCACGAAAGCGUGGGGAGCAAACAGG